RNAcentral lists this ribosomal RNA (253 nucleotides) under uncultured bacterium. RNAcentral describes it as "partial 16S ribosomal RNA". It matches the Rfam family "Bacterial small subunit ribosomal RNA", at positions 524 to 776 of the family's 1533-position model. The record is from RNAcentral.
UACGUAGGUGGCAAGCGUUGUCCGGAUUUAUUGGGUUUAAAGGGUGCGUAGGCGGCCCUGUAAGUCAGUGGUGAAAUGCUCUAGCUUAACUAGAGAGGUGCCAAUGAUACUGCAGGGCUUGAGUACAGAUGAGGUAGGCGGAAUUGACGGUGUAGCGGUGAAAUGCAUAGAUAUUCGCAAGAACACCAGUGGCGAAGGCGGCUCACUGGCUCGGUACUGACGCUGAGGUGCGAAAGCGUGGGGAGCGAACAGG